This 143-nucleotide ribosomal RNA is filed under the name uncultured eukaryote. Its description in RNAcentral is "partial small subunit ribosomal RNA". The record is from RNAcentral.
GGCUGAGAACUAUGAUCUCAUCUGCAGCGACCUUGCUUCUUUCAGCAAGCUUCCUAACUUCUGCUGCCACAACAGCAAAUCCUUUACCGUGUUCUCCUGCCCGUGCCGCUUCAACGGCUGCAUUCAGGGCCAAAAUAUUGGUC